GUUGCCAGCAUUUAAGGUGGGGACGUCAGAUGAGACUGCCGGUGGACAAACCGGAGGAAGGUGGGGACGACGUCAAGUCAUCAUGGCCCUUAUGUCCUGGGCUACACACGUGCUACAAUGGCCGGUACAGAGUGAAGCGAAACCGCGAGGUGAAGCAAAACGCAGAAAGCCGGUCUCAGUACGGAUUGGAGUCUGAAACUCGACUUCAUGAAGUUGGAAUCGCUAGUAAUCGCGCAUCAGCAUGGCGCGGUGAAUACGUUCCCGGGCCUU
This 270-nucleotide ribosomal RNA is filed under the name uncultured Spirochaeta sp. RNAcentral describes it as "partial 16S ribosomal RNA". It matches the Rfam family "Bacterial small subunit ribosomal RNA", at positions 1114 to 1382 of the family's 1533-position model. The record is from RNAcentral. Lineage: Bacteria; Pseudomonadati; Spirochaetota; Spirochaetia; Spirochaetales; Spirochaetaceae.